RNAcentral lists this ribosomal RNA (465 nucleotides) under uncultured bacterium. Its description in RNAcentral is "partial 16S ribosomal RNA". It matches the Rfam family "Bacterial small subunit ribosomal RNA", at positions 338 to 795 of the family's 1533-position model. The record is from RNAcentral.
CCUACGGGGGGCAGCAGUAGGGAAUCUUCCACAAUGGGCGAAAGCCUGAUGGAGCAACGCCGCGGGGGUGAAGAAGGUCUUCGGAUCGUAAAACCCUGUUGUUAGAGAAGAAAGUGCGUGAGAGUAACUGUUCACGUGUCGACGGUAUCUAACCAGAAAGCCACGGCUAACUACGUGCCAGCAGCCGCGGUAAUACGUAGGUGGCAAGCGUUAACCGGAUUUAUUGGGCGUAAAGGGAAUGCAGGCGGUCGUGUAAGUCUGAUGUGAAAGCCUUGGGCUUAACCGGAGUAGUGCAUUGGAAACUGGGAGACUUGAGUGCAGAAGAGGAGAGUGGAACUCCAUGUGUAGCAGUGAAAUGCGUAGAUAUAUGGAAGAACACCAGUGGCGAAAGCGGCUCUCUGGUCUGUAACUGACGCUGAGGUUCGAAAGCGUGGGUAGCAAACAGGAUUAGAUACCCUUGUAGUC